GACGAACGCUGGCGGCGUGCUUAACACAUGCAAGUCGGACGGAAAGGCCCUGCUUUUGUGGGGUGCUCGAGUGGCGAACGGGUGAGUAACACGUGAGUAACCUGCCCUUGACUUUGGGAUAACUUCAGGAAACUGGUGCUAAUACCGGAUAGGAGCUCCUGCUGCAUGGUGGGGGUUGGAAAGUUUCGGCGGUUGGGGAUGGACUCGCGGCUUAUCAGCUUGUUGGUGGGGUAGUGGCUUACCAAGGCUUUGACGGGUAGCCGGCCUGAGAGGGUGACCGGCCACAUUGGGACUGAGAUACGGCCCAGACUCCUACGGGAGGCAGCAGUGGGGAAUAUUGCACAAUGGGCGGAAGCCUGAUGCAGCAACGCCGCGUGCGGGAUGACGGCCUUCGGGUUGUAAACCGCUUUCGCCUGUGACGAAGCGUGAGUGACGGUAAUGGGUAAAGAAGCACCGGCUAACUACGUG
RNAcentral lists this ribosomal RNA (468 nucleotides) under uncultured bacterium. Its description in RNAcentral is "partial 16S ribosomal RNA". It matches the Rfam family "Bacterial small subunit ribosomal RNA", at positions 28 to 507 of the family's 1533-position model. The record is from RNAcentral.